RNAcentral lists this transfer RNA (69 nucleotides) under Paludibacter sp. 221. RNAcentral's name for it is "tRNA-Cys". It matches the Rfam family "tRNA". Rfam says of the family: Transfer RNA (tRNA) molecules are approximately 80 nucleotides in length. Their secondary structure includes four short double-helical elements and three loops (D, anti-codon, and T loops). Further hydrogen bonds mediate the characteristic L-shaped molecular structure. tRNAs have two regions of fundamental functional importance: the anti-codon, which is responsible for specific mRNA codon recognition, and the 3' end, to which the tRNAs corresponding amino acid is attached (by aminoacyl-tRNA synthetases). tRNAs cope with the degeneracy of the genetic code in two manners: having more than one tRNA (with a specific anti-codon) for a particular amino acid; and 'wobble' base-pairing, i.e. permitting non-standard base-pairing at the 3rd anti-codon position. Lineage: Bacteria; Pseudomonadati; Bacteroidota; Bacteroidia; Bacteroidales; Paludibacteraceae. The record is from RNAcentral.
UUAGCUCGGCUGGUUCAGAGCAUUCCGAUACAAUCGGAAGAGUCGGCGGUUCGAAUCCGUCAACGCCCA